Molecule: ribosomal RNA, 497 nt
Filed under: uncultured bacterium
Lineage: Bacteria
Description: partial 16S ribosomal RNA
Rfam family: Bacterial small subunit ribosomal RNA
Source: RNAcentral
GAUAAACGCUGGCGGCGUGCCUAAUACAUGCAAGUCGAGCGAACGGACGAGAAGCUUGCUUCUCUGAUGUUAGCGGCGGACGGGUGAGUAACACGUGGAUAACCUACCUAUAAGACUGGGAUAACUUCGGGAAACCGGAGCUAAUACCGGAUAAUAUUUUGAACCGCAUGGUUCAAAAGUGAAAGACGGUCUUGCUGUCACUUAUAGAUGGAUCCGCGCUGCAUUAGAUAGUUGGUAAGGUAACGGCUUACCAAGGCAACGAUGCAUAGCCGACCUGAGAGGGUGAUCGGCCACACUGGAACUGAGACACGGUCCAGACUCCUACGGGAGGCAGCAGUAGGGAAUCUUCCGCAAUGGGCGAAAGCCUGACGGAGCAACGCCGCGUGAGUGAUGAAGGUCUUCGGAUCGUAAAACUCUGUUAUUAGGGAAGAACAUAUGUGUAAGUAACUGUGCACAUCUUGACGGUACCUAAUCAGAAAGCCACGGCUAACUACGUG